RNAcentral lists this ribosomal RNA (434 nucleotides) under uncultured bacterium. RNAcentral describes it as "bacterial SSU rRNA". It matches the Rfam family "Bacterial small subunit ribosomal RNA", at positions 28 to 444 of the family's 1533-position model. The record is from RNAcentral.
GAUGAACGCUGGCGGCGUGCCUAACACAUGCAAGUCGAGCGAGGCAUUUUGAAGGAAGCUUUCGGAUGGAAUUUGAAAUGACUGAGCGGCGGACGGGUGAGUAACGCGUGGGUAACCUGCCUCAUACAGGGGGAUAACAGUUAGAAAUGACUGCUAAUACCGCAUAAGCACACAGUACCGCAUGGUACGGUGUGAAAAACUCCGGUGGUAUGAGAUGGACCCGCGUCUGAUUAGCUUGUUGGCGGGGUAACGGCCCACCAAGGCGACGAUCAGUAGCCGACCUGAGAGGGUGACCGGCCACAUUGGGACUGAGACACGGCCCAAACUCCUACGGGAGGCAGCAGUGGGGAAUAUUGCACAAUGGGGGAAACCCUGAUGCAGCAACGCCGCGUGAGUGAAGAAGUAUUUCGGUAUGUAAAGCUCUAUCAGCAGGG